GAGAGAGUAGUAGGAAAUGAAUAAAAGAAUGAAACCCGUUAGGUAAAUUACAACAAACGGAGUGUACUUACAUAUAAAAAGAGAAAGAGGGAAAUAGCCUUAAUUGAAAGAGGGAUAACAUAGCAAGGCAGAGUGGAGACAAUGAGGAGGCACGAUGUGAAUGCAAAUGAACUGGGUCUUCUGUGUGUAUUGUUAAAAUAGCUCCCGGUGCUCUGACGGGAAAGGAGUAAGCGUGGGCAUGUCACAGACACACAGAGCUCUGUCUUGAAAUGCUGUCGCAUGUUGAGGGAGAAUUCAGUCUAGAAUUUGGGCCUUGGAGGUCAUGUGUUUCCAACAGGCAAUGGGGAAUGGAGGCUAGAUUGGAAAGGGACUUGGGGAUACAAGUACCUGAGGACAAUUGCAUGUGGGCCCCCGGCACAGGGGCGGGGAAAGCUAGAGAAAAAACAGACAGCAUCCCCAAACAUUACCACACGGAAUCCGUACAACUUAGGUGUCCAUGCUGAGGCUGCAAAAACUUAAAAAAUUUAAAGAAUGACAAUCCUAUGAAAUAAUCUCUAAAAACAUUCAUUAAGGCGAUCUAAUGAGAUCUCCUGCAUUUCAGGUAUCUUUGCUGUAAUGGUCGGUUCUCUCAGAUCUCCUCCGUUAGAUGUUUGCAGUCGGUCUGUGCUUGCUCAGUAAGACCCCACUUGGAACCAUCUUCAACCACGGAAACAGUACUUGAAUGUUCCACUGCAUUGUGGGGACAAUGUAUGCGGUAGUUUAACUCAAUUUUUAAACCAUGUCUUUAUUCCGUUUACGUUUCUUCUCCAUUAAGACCAUCUCGUAACUUACCGAGUUAUUCAUGAAACUGAUUUAAAAAAAACUUAGAAGCUUAUACUUCGUACUAUUAUGAAUUGCCGUAUGACCAACUUAUAUUAGAAGUGGGUUUAGGUCGGUUGUACGUUUUAAAGUCCUGCAGGACAGAAGACAGUUACUGUUUUUGGAGAUCUGCCUGGUGCCUUGCAGCCACUACAAGCUCCCCGCAAAUUUCCAAAAUUUCCACUAGGGGGCGCGAUCACCCCCAUUGAAACCACUGGUAGGUUAAGAGCUUCCGCUCUGAAGUCAGAGUGGGCCUGGGCUUCCUCCUAGCCUCGUGAGACCUUGGACACUUGAUUUACCCUUUCUGUGUCUCAGCGUCUUGGGUGAGAGUUGUACCUGUCCCCUAGAGUUAGAACGCAGACUGAGCUCCGUAAAAUGGUGGUUGAUAUCCCCAUUUCAUGGACCAGGAAACUGAGGCUCAGGAACUUUGGUGACUUGUCCAAACUUCGGCAGGGCCAGGAGCAGGGCCAGGAGGCAGCGGAGGCUCAGGGAUGAGGGGGCUGUGGAGUGGGCCUCGUUCCUUGGCCACAGAGGCAGGAUCCAAAGACUGUUGCCUGCCUGAGCCCAUCAUGCCUCUCUCCAAGAAUAAUACAUGACCACGACGUUCCAGAGCAGCACUCUUUGGAGGGCAUUCUGCUAGGAACCAGCCCAUUUGUGGAGACAGCAACACCCAGCCAUGUCCUGUGCUCUCCUGUCCCACCACCUCCUCUCCAAGCCUCCGGCUCUGGCCCCGAGGGAACUGCAGACAGACACAGGCCCUGGAGAGCCGCAAGUUCUCCAGGGCACCUCCUCCAGUUCCAGUGGCUUUUCUCUUGAGUCUGCUUCGAUCCCAGUUCUCCCGGAUUCACAAAGGACCACAGGCGUCUAGCUCUCCUGGGGCUGUGACAAAACCCCCAAAUAUACUCCUAUUAUUUGUUAAACACACACAUGCUCUCUGCUAGCUCUUUAGGAAGGAGAACAGGUGUCCAGAGUUUGAAAUCAGCCCUUAGAACCAGACUAAAGCAAAAUCAGGAAUUGAAAGAGGCCUGCAUUCCCCUUUCUUCUUUCUCAAAGUUCUUCUCUACCUUGAACCAUUAAUGCCUCCACCUCUCCCGAGACAUCCUGCAGGGGCCCAGCUGAGGCCUGCCACUAUCCUGGGCUCACUCUCUCUUUCUACUCUCCACCGCAUAGAAUUCACAGGGCUUCUUGACUAUUACUCAAGAUUUCAAAUUGAGAAGCUCUGAUAAAGUCCUUCACGCUGAGGAUCCAUAGCUGAUAAUCACUGAGUACCUGCCAAAGGUCAUAAACCCAAAACACUGAGGCUGGAUGAGUAUAAUUUGGGGUGGCUUUUCUGAUACCCCUCCCCAAAUCAUCUACCUUGUUGUCCCCUCAAGCAGAAGUACAGGGCACUGUGCAGUAAUUGAGAACACCUAAGAAUUUUCUUCUCCUGUAGUUCUACCGUCAGUCUCGGAGACGAGUCAAGGGAAGUCUCCAGGAUCUGAACACUGAUCUAAUUAGUGCUCGUUACCCAGGACCUUGCUUGGGACACGUCUUGAUUCGGGGCUACCCGGACAGAAGAGAUGACCGCGGUGGCAGCAUAUCACGGACCCAGCUUUGCUUUUAGCCACAGGGAAGGCUCCACCCCAGACCCCCUCCCCUUUUCUGCCAAGCUUGUAAGCUGCCCGGAACCGCGAGGCCAGCCACAGGCAGGCACAGAGUGAGAGACACACGGCACGUGUACAAACCAUUCAUUUUAUUUCCUGUAUUGGGUUUAUACAAACUUGCAAGAUACAAAUGCAGAGCUCACUGGGAUUCUUCAGUACCUAGAUCUAGAAAGAAUGCUGCGGGGCGGGGGGAAGCGAACGUUCACUCUCAGUCACGAGGCCCCUCCCCGGGGAGGGGCUUGUUGGCUAGAAAGAUGCUAAAAGCAGCUGCUACAGAUGUUUGGUCCCCAACAGAGAUGCCCUCUGUUUAUCUAACUUUAACUUUUCUUCUAAGGUCACUUUUAUACUAAAUAAAGACACUGAGAUCAUA
Long non-coding RNA from Felis catus (domestic cat), 2871 nucleotides. RefSeq lists it as uncharacterized. NCBI's taxonomy places the organism in Eukaryota, Metazoa, Chordata, Mammalia, Carnivora, Felidae. The transcript is spliced from 3 exons. The record is from RefSeq and is a predicted model, not a curated record.